This 946-nucleotide long non-coding RNA is filed under the name Monodelphis domestica (gray short-tailed opossum). RNAcentral describes it as "lncRNA (ENSMODG00000030411.2)". The record is from RNAcentral. Lineage: Eukaryota; Metazoa; Chordata; Mammalia; Didelphimorphia; Didelphidae.
CUUGAACCAAAGACUUCCUGGAUCCAAAGUCAGUCCAGAAUCUACUUUGGCACACUGCCUCUUAUACCACUGUUGUUCAUAAAAAAAUAAGGCUAGAAAGCUUUCUUUCCAAAGAAACAACCUCCAGACUUCCCUGAGGGGAAUCACCUGACCAUAGAAAAGAGGAACUUUUCUAGAACCCAACGUAUGCUUCUUUGGCCCAAUGGACAAGAGCUGCGAUGACGAACUGUUUCACCUAUGAGAUAAAAAAAUGGAUGGAGGAUAAGUCUGAUUGUCUGACUUGACUUUAUCAUGCUGGGAGAAGAGUGACCUCGUCAGGUGCUUGUGUGAAAUGAAAUGCGAUGGAAGGAGAAAGCUAAGACCGGAAAGAGACGGGACAGACAGAAGUAGGACGUAGAGAACAAAUGAAGAUGGAGUGCAAGCAGAAGAGCAGGACGGGUGGAAUUUCACGGACAGACCAGGCUAAAAAACCUGGCAAAUGGCAGGCGUACAGGUUAAGGCAACUUCUGUAGGAACUGUCAUUAUGGGAUAUUUAAGGGGAAGAAACAAGAGGUUGCAUCAUUUGGAUGGUCAGACUUGGGUUUAGGAAUAUCAGUUUGGACCAAGCAUGUUGGCACACACCUGCAAUACCUGCUUAUAGGAAAGGCUGAGGCCGGUUGAUCUCUUGAGUUGGAGAAUAUUCAACUACAGUUGGGCUAAAGCUGUUAUCCAGUGUUGGCACAAAGCCUAGCACAAAUUAAUGGAGGACUACUAAGCUACCUGAGGGGCAAAUUGGUCAGAUUGGAGGAAAAAAAAUAGAUCGGGUUACAUUUUCCUUGCCAAUCAGAAUAAGAGCAGGGACCAGGAGUCACCACUGAACACCACUGAGAAAGAUAAGGAAAGACUUGAAAGAAUGGAAUAUCAAUUUGUCAGCUUUGUGAAGAAUUUAUUUAUAGAUUGAAAUCAG